AUGUGCCCUGUCCGGUGUAAGCUAAACAUAGAUGGAGGACAGUGGGUGGUCAAUGAGUAUUUUGACGAGCACAACCACCAACUCAUAAAGAAGUUCGACCUGAUAAAAUUUCUGACCGUCCACAGAGGGUUCACCCCCGUCGAAAGGCAAUUCGUAAAGCUGCUACAUGAUUGUAACGUCGGUCCAUCAAGAAUGGUACAUAUACUAUCUCUCAUCCACAGCAAAAAGGGGACUCUGAGUAGCAUGCCGUACAUACCAGCCGACGUCACAAACCUAUAGGCCAAGUACCAUAGAGAGAGCAAGUUGGCAGACAUAGAGGCCACAAUGGCCUACUUCGAUGAGAAAGCGAAGGAAGAUCCAGAUUUCUUCUACAGGAUAAGGUUGGACGAUGAGGACCGUGUCAGGAACAUGUAUUGGGUGGAUGGUGCUGCAAGGAGAGCCUACAAACAUUUCCGAGAUUGCAUUUCAUUCGACGCGACGUACCUCACCAAUAUGUACAAGAUGCCACGCGCUCCGUUCAUAGGAAUAAAUAACCACAACACGGAUGGGUAUGUUUGGCUGUUCAAGACCUUCUUGGAGUGCAUGGAUGGACUUGCUCUGAUGAACAUAAUAACAGACCAAGAUUUCAGCAUGCGUGCAGGCAUAGAGGAGGUCUUUCCGUUGGCAGUGCACAGGCACUGCAGGUGGCACAUUAUAAAGAAGGCUGAGGAGACGCUAGGACCAUUCUUUGCUACUACGCAGCGCAGCGAGGGGUUCAAUGUUAUUUUGAAGUGACGGGACGGCAUUGUGUGCUGUCACAUACUAAAACUAAUGGACAUGAACGCUGUGACACGGAUGCCCCGCCAUUUCAUAAGACGGCGAUGGACUUGGGACGCUGACGACGCGUUGGCGCCGCAGACAACACACGCAGUUCUGAUUGUGCAUGAUGAGAGACCUGAGUCAACCAUGGAAGCCGUGAGGCACGUUGUGCUGACAAAGAACUAUGCCGAGCUAAUUGAUGAAGCGUGCAAGAGUGAUGAGACAGCGAGAGUCACAGAAAAACACAAGAAGGCACUGAAAAGAGAGGUUGAUGAGAUCAAGAAGAGGAAAGCUGAGGAAGCAUUACACCGGUUCCCCCGCACAUCAAGUGUGCCUUCAUCCACGGGGCCAUCAUCUGAAAACUCGGAGAUAGGAUCUGGAAUAGCAAGCACGCAGACCCAGGUCAGGAACCCACCCCGUUCCAUCACAAAGGGUCGUCCAAGAGAGAUAAGGUACAAGUCGGGAUUGGAGAUUCAAGCAAAACACAAAAAAACGAAGAAAGGGGCGGGCAAUCCAUGA
RNAcentral lists this ribosomal RNA (1317 nucleotides) under Triticum aestivum (bread wheat). Its description in RNAcentral is "partial small subunit ribosomal RNA". The record is from RNAcentral. Lineage: Eukaryota; Viridiplantae; Streptophyta; Magnoliopsida; Poales; Poaceae.